RNAcentral lists this transfer RNA (75 nucleotides) under Cuculus canorus (common cuckoo). RNAcentral's name for it is "tRNA-Asn". Lineage: Eukaryota; Metazoa; Chordata; Aves; Cuculiformes; Cuculidae. The record is from RNAcentral.
UAGACGGAAGCCUGUUAGGUUUGGGCGUCUAGCUGUUAACUAGAAUUUUUGUGGGAUCAAGGCCCACCUGUCUAG